GAUGAAGAACGUAGCGAAAUGCGAUAAGUAAUGUGAAUUGCAGAAUUCAGUGAAUCAUCGAAUCUUUGAACGCACAUUGCGCCCUUUGGUAUUCCGAGGGGCAUGCCUGUUCGAGCGUCAUUACGCCCCUCAAGUCCCCUGUGGACUUGGUGUUGGGGAUCGGCGAGGCUGGUUUUCCAGCACAGCCGUCCCUUAAAUUAAUUGGCGGUCUCGCCGUGGCCCUCCUCUGCGCAGUAGUAAAACACUCGCAACAGGAGCCCGGCGCGGUCCACUGCCGUAAAACCCCCCAACUUUUUAUAGUUGACCUCGAAUCAGGUAGGACUACCCGCUGAACUUAAGCAUAUCAAUAAGCGGAGGA
Molecule: unclassified non-coding RNA, 358 nt
Filed under: soil metagenome
Description: partial contains 5.8S ribosomal RNA, internal transcribed spacer 2, and large subunit ribosomal RNA
Rfam family: 5.8S ribosomal RNA (bases 1-120)
Source: RNAcentral